GCCAUUUAAAACUACAGGAAAAAGAUAAUUAUCAUUGACAACGCAACUAUACAUAACUUCCAAUGAAUGAUACAGGACUACAAACCAAAACUGAGGAACUCUGAUGGGAGAGAAAAUUUGGCACAGACAAUGGCAAAAUUACAAUAACCAAGGGAAGGGAAAAGAAAGCAAAGAACUCUCAUAAUAAGUUGUAGACUCGAGACACCAAUGGACUAAAGGCACUGCAGUGCAUACUCUUGACAUGAUAUUACUCACUUUCCAAUUCCAACUUCCUUUUCAAGAAACAAAUGUACUCGUUUGUCAGGAUAUCACUAAUGCAAUUUUACAAGGCCACAAGGUGUAUACUUAUAGCAUUAUUACUCAUUUUCCAAUUCCAAGUUCCUUCUGGAUAUCUCUUGUCAGGCUGAAUUGUAAAGUGCUAUGCCAUGGGAAUAGGGUGCGAGUAACUGGAAGUUUCCUUCGCAAAUCCUGCAACUCACCGUAACCACUAAAUGGAUCAAGGAAGUGCUUAUGACUAGUGCCACAAAUCUCCUUCCUACUAAAGGAUUAUAUACUUAUAUUUUGUAAGAAGAAUGUACUUUAAGCGAAAAUGCAAAAAAGGGUAAAAACCAAAGCUCUCCUUCCUUCUAAACGUCUGAAAAUUCUGUUAUCUAAAGUGCUGUAAAUCAUUGCAAAGGGUGAAAACCAAAGCUCUCCUUCAUCCUAAACAUCAGAAAAUUCAGUUAUCUAAAGUGCUGUAAAGUGUUGCAUCUAGGAUUCAAGGAAAGCUUAUAUGAGAUGAAAGGGAAUUGGUAAUCUUGAUAUAAGAGUCCUUCCACUAUUUUUAAGUCCUCAGUAAAAUCCUAUAAUGAACGUUAAGCAAGCGAAAAUAUUCUUCACUGAUAUGAGGUAAUCUGUUCAAUAAUUUUUCAUAUUGCUAUCUUCUAAUCAAACUUACCUUGAAAGUGGUAUAUGGCAGAUUUGAAUAGGAUGCCUGUCAAACAUAACUGUUAGUGUAGGAACCCCAAAAUUCAGGUAUUUAACAGUAAAAAGAGACACAUUGAUAACCUCAAGGGAUGCUAGGUAUUCUGCUUCAUGGUAGCGAAUAAUGUUGGCUAUGGAAAAUGCAGAAUCAUCAGUGGCCUGUAUCUUGCCUCUUAUUCCCAGCAUUUGUACAUCAUCCCUGAACUCAAUAUUCCACACUGAGCGCCAGCUUCCAUUGCAGAAAUUCUUUGGACUAUUUCUAACAGCAGAAAUCACCACAACAAGCUCAAAAUUAGAUCCUGGUCCCUCCACAUCUUUUCCAUUAACACAAUACACAGAACAGAUUCCCUUCGGAUAAGCUUCACCAACAUAUUUAAGUAUUUCUGCAUCUAGAGUACAACUGCCACAGAAAAUUGACAUCAAUAGUAAAAGAAUAUGUAAAGUGGUGCAUAAAAAACAACCGCUAACAAUUUUCUAUCUGCCAUAAACAAAUCAUGCUUCUGCUAUAUUUUCUUGCAUGUAGAUGUGUACCCAAAAGUUACAAAUUAAUCAUAGAAUUCCCAACCCCACAAUUCGCAUCACCACAAACAUGCACAGAAUAUAAAAGAAUUAAGCAGCAAGUUUUAGGUAAAAAGAGAACACAUACAGAAAGGCUAGAUUGAAACUCAAACAAGAACAAGAAAAACUAAAAAUUAAUUUAAAAGUUGAUUCCUCUAGAUCCUUUCAGAAACCUGUUUGUAACAGGAAGGUUAGAGGAUAAUAGAAAACUCGUCUUGAAUCAAAGUGGAAACUCAUAUAAUGAGUCAUUGUUCUCAGUUGAAUAUUACUAAAUUAAAUUUGUAACAAGACCAAUGCAAAAUAAAUAAGCUAAUUAAAAAAAUGAGCUACUCAACAAGCCAAGAGGCACUCAUUGAGGGACUCAAUCAAUAAAGUCAAAUAGCUAUACAACCUGAGGGAAAAAUCUAUAAAGGAUAUUCAAAUUGAAGAAUUUGUAUAAGUGUGCUACUUUUUUAACAAACAAGAAACUCAGAAGCAUACCAAAAUUCCUCUAUAUAAGGCGACAGAAGUUCCUCAUCAGCCGCAGGUCUCAAGUCUGUUCAAACCUGAAUCAAUUUAGCACGUCACAAUAUAAAAGAUGGACAGCAAAACUUUUCUUUAUUUAUUUAGUUGACACGUUAUCUGAUCAUAUAUAGUUUAGCUACAUGAUCAAGAAGUAGCAGAACUUACGUGCUUCACAUGGUUAACUGUAGCUACCUGGGCAGUUCUAGGAUCAAGAUACUCAUUCUUAUCAAGCUCAUUAUAAGAUGUAAUCAACACCUAAAGUACACAAUUCCAAAAGAUGCAACACAAGAAAUUUUACUUCCAAUCAAGUAUGGUCAAAUAUAAAACCAGGGUUCUAAAACAAGACAUCUAUAAUUGCAAUACAUAAGACAAACAAUUCAAAAAUGAAGACUAAACUGUAUAAAAAUCAAAAGAAAAACACGAAAAAAAGCCUUACAUCUCCGCUUCUAUCCGGUAAUUCGAGGCAAAUCAUGUGAGAUUUGUUGUAGAAAGGGAAUGCCUCUUGAGCCGCCUCGUUAUAUACUCGCUCGUCAUUCAAAACCGAUUUCAAAUCUUUAGAGACAUAUUGGAUUUCACCGGCGGGCGAGUUGAGAAGGAAUCAUUUGGCGAUCUCUUUCUUUUGCCUGUCGCUAAGCUCAGAGUCAAGGUAUUCCUCUUCUGCCAUUGAUCUCUCCCUUCUCUUCUUUCAAUACAUCGAAGUAGAAACAGAAGCUAUGUGAACCUGUGAUACAGAUUUUAAAAGGAAUCGCAGAAAGAGGGAGCAGAGUGUGAUCUGUGAAGGCAAAUUUGGGGGGUGUGAGUGCGAGUCGAGAUGUUG
This 2842-nucleotide unclassified non-coding RNA is filed under the name Hevea brasiliensis (rubber tree). Lineage: Eukaryota; Viridiplantae; Streptophyta; Magnoliopsida; Malpighiales; Euphorbiaceae. The record is from RNAcentral.